Molecule: small RNA, 107 nt
Filed under: Marmota monax (woodchuck)
Lineage: Eukaryota; Metazoa; Chordata; Mammalia; Rodentia; Sciuridae
Source: RNAcentral
GCUGGAUAGGGUGGCACAUGCCUGUAAUCUCAGAGACUCGGGAGGCUGAGACAGGAGGAUCACAAGUUUGAGGCCACCCUGGGCAACUUGGUGAGACCCUGUCUCAA